UUGCUCCUGGGUGACGAGCGGCGGACGGGUGAGUAAUGUCUGGGAAACUGCCUGAUGGAGGGGGAUAACUACUGGAAACGGUAGCUAAUACCGCAUAACGUCGCAAGACCAAAGAGGGGGACCUUCGGGCCUCUUGCCAUCAGAUGUGCCCAGAUGGGAUUAGCUAGUAGGUGGGGUAACGGCUCACCUAGGCGACGAUCCCUAGCUGGUCUGAGAGGAUGACCAGCCACACUGGAACUGAGACACGGUCCAGACUCCUACGGGAGGCAGCAGUGGGGAAUAUUGCACAAUGGGCGCAAGCCUGAUGCAGCCAUGCCGCGUGUAUGAAGAAGGCCUUCGGGUUGUAAAGUACUUUCAGCGGGGAGGAAGGCGUUGAGGUUAAUAACCUCAGCGAUUGACGUUACCCGCAGAAGAAGCACCGGCUAACUCCGUGCCAGCAGCCGCGGUAAUACGGAGGGUGCAAGCGUUAAUCGGAAUUACUGGGCGUAAAGCGCACGCAGGCGGUCUGUCAAGUCGGAUGUGAAAUCCCCGGGCUCAACCUGGGAACUGCAUUCGAAACUGGCAGGCUAGAGUCUUGUAGAGGGGGGUAGAAUUCCAGGUG
Molecule: ribosomal RNA, 601 nt
Filed under: Klebsiella oxytoca
Lineage: Bacteria; Pseudomonadati; Pseudomonadota; Gammaproteobacteria; Enterobacterales; Enterobacteriaceae
Description: bacterial SSU rRNA
Rfam family: Bacterial small subunit ribosomal RNA
Source: RNAcentral